RNAcentral lists this ribosomal RNA (472 nucleotides) under uncultured soil bacterium. RNAcentral describes it as "bacterial SSU rRNA". It matches the Rfam family "Bacterial small subunit ribosomal RNA", at positions 26 to 495 of the family's 1533-position model. The record is from RNAcentral.
AGAUUGAACGCUGGCGGCAUGCCUUACACAUGCAAGUCGAACGGCAGCACGGGAGCAAUCCUGGUGGCGAGUGGCGAACGGGUGAGUAAUAUAUCGGAACGUGCCCAGUCGUGGGGGAUAACGCAGCGAAAGCUGUGCUAAUACCGCAUACGAUCUCUGGAUGAAAGCGGGGGGACUCGCAAGAGCCUCGCGCGAUUGGAGCGGCCGAUAUCAGAUUAGCUAGUUGGUGGGGUAAAAGCUCACCAAGGCGACGAUCUGUAGCUGGUCUGAGAGGAUGAUCAGUCACACUGGAACUGAGACACGGUCCAGACUCCUACGGGGGGCAGCAGUGGGGAAUAUUGGACAAUGGCGAAAGCCUGAUCCAGCCAUGCCGCGUGUGUGAAGAAGGUCUUCGGAUUGUAAAGCACUUUAGUUGGAGGAAGGCAUUAACCUAAUACGUUAGUGUUUUGACGUUACGACAGAAUAAGCACGG